AGCAGCCGCGGUAAUUCCAGCUCCAAUAGCGUAUAUUAAAGUUGUUGCAGUUAAAAAGCUCGUAGUUGAAUUUCGGGAUCAAUAUGUUGGUCGUGCCUCGGUACGUACUAGCAUAUUGGUUUCUCCUUUCUGAAGAACCAUGAUGUCAUUUAUUUGGUGUCGUGGGGAAUCAGGACUGUUACUUUGAAAAAAUUAGAGUGUUUAAAGCAGGCUCACGCUUGAAUACAUUAGCAUGGAAUAAUGAAAUAGGACGUUUGAUUCUACUUUGUUGGUUUCUAGGAUCGACGUAAUGAUUAAUAGGGAUAGUUGGGGGCAUUAGUAUUCAAUUGUCAGAGGUGAAAUUCUUGGAUUUAUUGAAGACUAACUACUGCGAAAGCAUUUGCCAAGGAUGUUUUCAUUAAUCAAGAACGAAAGUUAGGGGAUCGAAGACGAUCAGAUACCGUCGUAGUCUUAACCAUAAACUAUGCCGACUAGGGAUCGGAUGAUGUUAAUUUUUAAUGACUCAUUCGGCGCCUUAAC
RNAcentral lists this ribosomal RNA (519 nucleotides) under uncultured Glomus. Its description in RNAcentral is "SSU rRNA". It matches the Rfam family "Eukaryotic small subunit ribosomal RNA", at positions 569 to 1092 of the family's 1831-position model. Lineage: Eukaryota; Fungi; Glomeromycota; Glomeromycetes; Glomerales; Glomeraceae. The record is from RNAcentral.